Molecule: non-coding RNA, 2899 nt
Organism: Delphinapterus leucas (beluga whale)
Lineage: Eukaryota; Metazoa; Chordata; Mammalia; Artiodactyla; Monodontidae
Source: RefSeq, a predicted model, not a curated record
AUUACACGGUGAUGGGAGAUCUCUGGUGGACCAAUGUCCUGAAUUUGGCUCUCCCACCUCAGAGGCAAAGGCCUGACACCCGGCCGGAGCAUCAAGAUGCUGUCAGCCACAUUGCUCCAGCAAUGAACACCUGGUUUACCUGAAAUGCUUCAUACCACAAAUAAUGCUGCAAUAAAUCACUUGAGCUGGCCAUGAAUACUUGCCUAGUGGAAUGAAGAAAAAUUUAAUUCCUGAAUUAGUAGUCCUGCCUGUUCUGAAAUGUAGUAAUUCCAAGAGAGAUAGAAAAUGAAUGCAAAUAAAAAAGAAAUUCUACAUGCAAAAAUACAGUUUUUGACCUAGUGCUAAUUGGAAGGGGAGUUCAUCUGUUCCUGGAAGGAAUUGAAAAGGUGGCUCCUUCAAUCUCCUCUUGGUGAGCAUUGACAAAGUGGUGGAGGGAGUUUCAGAAAUCGAAGAUAUUCUUGGAUUCCAGCUUGAUUUUUGGUCACUAAACAUAUUGCCAUACCCUAGUUCAUUAGACUUCCUAAUAACCUUUGAGAGGAAAAUUAACAUUUCACAGAGCAACAGAGUAAAAUUUGUGUAUUGCAAAGAGAAUUAGAGGUCACUAUGAUGCCAUAUACAUUCAUUUCAGUUCCCACAAGACUUUACUCUUUGCAUCUAUUUUUAAUGAAACAAAUAAAAACAGGAACCCAAACCUAUGAAUAUGAUCAUUUAUACAGCUAGAUUUUUAAGACAUUUUUAUGUCUAGUUUGUUAUAUAUGUCUGCAAGUUGACUGGCAAGUGACAAAGCAAGGAUGGCAAGAUAAAUUCAAACACUGUGCUCCUUCCUGGAAGAAGAUCUUUGUAAACAAAAUCAAUAUCUGCAGAGAAAUAUCAAACUCUCAUGUGCUCCAGUUCAAGAACCUCAGAGAUACUCUAUAAUAAAAAGGAAUUGCUAAAAUAAAUAAAUUUAGAAUAGCUAAAACUUACAUUUCUCGAAAUAUAUCCAAAGGCUUUCUAUGAAAGCUAGAAACUACAAGCAUGUAUUUUCAUCAACACAUCUGAUUUGGUGACUCUGUAAGAUGUAUAUCUAUUGUGAUAACUGGAAGGCUAUUUUCAAUGAAUAUGAAUAUUUGUUUGUACCCUCUAUCUUGUAGAUGCCAAUUUGUUUCUCUGUUCGAGAUACGAUUUUAUGAAAUAGGGAUAAUAGGUUUUCUAUGAGGACACAUUAUCAUGAUACAUUAUUAACUAGUGAGUAAUGGCAAGACACGUAUUUAGUUGUCAGUAUUUGACCAAAGAAUUUGUGAUAUAUAUAUAUAUAUAUAAUAUAUAUCAUAUAUAAAAUCCAUUAUACUUUAUAGUAUUUAUGUGUGUGUGUGUCUGCUAUGAAGCAUAUAACUUCUAAGAUUAUCUAGAAAUUAACAUAUCAGUUCAUGAGCCUAAAGCUAAAAUAUCUAAAAUUUCUAGGAGAUUUGAAAUUCUUUAAUUUGCUUCUUUUGGACUUUUGUUAUUGACAAGUUUUCUUAUUUAACUUCAUCAGUUAAUUAUGGAUUACAUAAUUAUUAUUUGUUUUAACAUUACAACAUAUUUAGAGAAAAAAGAAGAAAUAAUUUUGUGUUUUCUUUUCUUUUAUGGUUUUAUUCAUUAUCAUCCUUGCUUUCACAUAUUACUUUUUCAAUUACUAACAAUAAAACUAUCUAGCUUACAGGGCUUCUGCUGUCCACAUUUUUGGUGUGUCACCUUGCUUUUUAAUUAUUAAUCUUUUUAAUGUGUAAAUUUACUCGAGUAUGAUAAACUAUAUUUUACCUAUUUUUAUUAUAUGUUACCUAUUAAUACAACAUAUAUUAAUAAUUUUAUCUAAUUUUUAAAUCUGAAUAUAUUUCAGAAGAAAGAAGUGUUUAAUUUGCUAAGAAACUGAAAGUUAAUUAUUAUAUAAAAUUGAAUUAUGUUCCAUAACAUAUCUCAUGUUAUUGUGAGGCACUUAAAAUUUUCCUCAAGUUCAUGAAGAGAGAUCAAGUAUAUUAAAAUAUGAUUUUAAAAAUAACCAGGCCUAAAAAAAUGAGGCAACACAACAGCGUAAUGUGCUAUAAAUUAGAAUGUUAUUUAUGUAAUAGAGUAUUAAUUAUACACACAUACAUGUGUUCUUCUGUUGUCUCUAUAUUGGCUGAGAGAUGCUACAUGGGUUCUUUGUUUAUUUUUAGUGAUAUACUGUACUUGUGUCUUCAAGGGGGAUUAAAACACUGUGUAAAUAGUAAUUGUAUGCACACUCAAAGCCUCGAACUCAGGCAUUCUCUUCCCUUACUAUCAAAUAUAGUCAUAAACGGUCUUUUCCAGAAAAUCUUUCUUGAGACAACGUCAACGAUUUCAAAAGUAAUUGCAAUGUCAUUAUAUCCGAUUAUUGGGGGAAAAUUCACACGCACAGAUAUGGUAAGAGCCCAAACUCUAUUGGCAUAAGUCAUUAACACUGAUUUGCUUUCCACCAAUGAUAUACUUGCUGUCCCUAGCCUAGUACUUUUCAAAGCUUAAUAAAAUCUAGGCAUUAUGAUAUCUAUGCUACUAUUCUUCAUUUUAUUUUCCACCUUAUUUCCCCAAAUCCUUACUGUGAAUCUCAAAAAUAACAAUUACAUUUUUUCUGGAAAUUUAACAUCAUAAGGAGUUGAAGCUAAGAAUCCACACCAUGAUAUAGCUAUGUUGUUCUUUAAGUGUAAAUAAAUUUACCAAGAUUUCUAGAACUUGGAAAAAGACAAUUGAUAGUCUCAAAUUUGUUCAAAAACUUCGAAAUUAUAAGUUGUAUGAAAACAAAUCCAAUGACUCAUUUAUUAAAAGCAGUGGUGCAAAAGACUUAAAAAAGAAAUGUUGCAGCGUCCAGUCUUCUAAUUUCCUACAUAUGUUAUUAAAUAUAACACAUUCCUCCAACCGCAAC